UAACCUGGUCCUGGUAGUUGGAUUCCACCUC
RNAcentral lists this non-coding RNA (31 nucleotides) under Homo sapiens (human). Lineage: Eukaryota; Metazoa; Chordata; Mammalia; Primates; Hominidae. The record is from RNAcentral.